UUGGAUAAAUUUUUGUUGAUCGGAUGGGG
RNAcentral lists this small RNA (29 nucleotides) under Arabidopsis thaliana (thale cress). RNAcentral describes it as "ATSL054600". Lineage: Eukaryota; Viridiplantae; Streptophyta; Magnoliopsida; Brassicales; Brassicaceae. The record is from RNAcentral.